Molecule: long non-coding RNA, 3593 nt
Organism: Podarcis muralis (Common wall lizard)
Lineage: Eukaryota; Metazoa; Chordata; Lepidosauria; Squamata; Lacertidae
Source: RefSeq, a predicted model, not a curated record
GAUUGCGGGGAGCCCGGACCCGCCGACGCCGUCGAGGCGGGUUGGGGAGGGGGCCAUCGGGCUGCCCUGAACAGCGCCCCAAAAGAGAGAAAGGGGGACGGGACGGCCUCCGGGCGCCCCUCGAUCCUUCCUCGCGGGAAAUCCGACGGCCCUUCGCUGCAGAAAGUCCGUUUUGCGUAAGGUGGGGAGACGGACGCGCGAAGGAAGCCAUCUUGCCUCGCCCUGGGCUCCCUCGGAAGGAUCGCGGGGGUCUCCUUUGCUCGCUAGAGGAGUCUCGGGGGGCGCGAGGUGGUGGUCGCUCUUUGGGCUGGUGGGGGUUGGAUGCAGGGGCCACCAUUAGAUGCCUUCCCGGGGGGGGGUGCAAAAAGCCAGAGGUUUGUGUGCUGGGAAAAGCCAGAGCAGCGCGUCUCCUUUUAUUUUCCUGCCCAGGCAAAUGCGCCAUGGCGAGGUCGCCUUUGCGUCUUGAGAAUCCUUUAUAUAUAUGCGUCUUUUUAGAAACGAAGGAGUCGAGGGGUUGUUCUUGUUCCUUGCAAAUUUCCGCAGGUAAGUAUGCGUCCGAUUUAUUGUCUCUUCGCCUUCCUCCCUCGCCCCUCCAAAUACUGUUCUCUGCACUCCGACCUGUUUUUCCAUCCCUCAUAUUCGUCCCGCCACCCGCACCUCCGAUUAUACACCACCAACAAUGUCUUAUUGUUUAACAAGCUCUCCUUUGGGUAUCGUCUGUGGUGCUAAAACGCCACGUCGAGCUGCAAUUUUCACUGUGCACGGACAAACCACGCCGCCUCCCUCGCUGACUCGCAUCUUUUUUAAUUCUGUGUUGAGGAUUGGUUCCAUUCUACAGAUAAGCAACUGAGGAUGACUGACUAGCUUUCUGCCAAAGAGGGGGCUUGUGGGCUUGACGGGAGUUUUCCUAAAAUUGCCCCCUCCAUUUCCCGUCUGUUUCCCUUCCCCAGCAUCCCUUCCAUGGCAAUGUUAAUAAAAAAUGCGCGUUGCAUUAGCUUCCGUGGCCCCACGACUGGUUAUUAUUUCCAUUAAUUGAUGCCACGACUGGCGCUCUGCAGGUUAACUAGAAGCAAGACCCCGGAUCAUCUGCCCCGAGGACCUUACAAUCUGAACAAUCACCAUGAAAGAGGAGUGUAAAAAGACGGGGUGACUUUUGGGGGGGGGUCUGCUUUCAGCGCCUUUGCACCUUUUAGCUUGUGGCGGCUACAAGGUGGAAAGAGGAGCUGUUCAUUUUUGGGGUGCCGGCUUUGAAUGUGGGUAGCCAGGCGUUGAACCUCUGCCCGGGCAGCCGCGGCGCGCUCCCCGGGCAAAGCUGCGCGCUCUCGCCCCCGCCAUUUCUGCUGGUUUAACGUGAAGCUGGAAGAGAAGCGGGUGGGGUAAACGUCGAGCAAACACCAGCAUUGUUUUCGGGUGGCGAAGCCACGAGGCUUGCUAAGCGCAUUGUCGGGUGAUCGGGUUCCCAAGAGUCCCAUUUUUAGCCCGGAAUGCGGCAUCGUGAGAGCGCAGCAUAGCGAGCAGAAGAGGAACCAUUUUGAAACCAAACGUCCCCUUUUCGUUGUUGUUGCUUAGCGUAGAUUUUACAGACGGGGGCUUCAAGCGAGGGAGAGGGGAAGCAGGCCGGUUUUCAGUCGCGAAAACAGCCCUCCGGAUACAUCCCGGGUCAAAACGCAGGGGUGGGUUCAGACGCGCUUAGAGCAGCGCGCCAUGGAAAGCCUUUCCAAAUAACCAGCGAUUGCAUGGGCUCUCCUGCAAUUGUGGCUUUUUAAGUCUGGGUUCACCCCCCGAAUACUCCAGAUCUCAAUUUUUUAGGCUGGUCUUCGAAACGUGCUUAGGGAGGAAGCCCCAUGGAAGCCGACGAUAUUUACUUCGGCGUAAGCCCGUUUACCCUUGCGCUGCUUUUAUUUGGAAUGUGUCGCUUUGGAAAGGAAGCGCGCGUGGGAAGCGCUUUAAAAUCGAGCUUUUGCAAGUUGUUAUUCCCAUGGAAAAAGGGGAUCUAUUUGAGCUUCUGGAAAAGACAGAAAGCGGGUCGUGCGUAACAGUCCCCGCUGCGCAUUCUUCCAAAGGUUUCAGCUGUCCCCUGUAGCGCGAAGGGGCUACGACCGCUGGGUGCGCACUUAUUAAAACCAAAUUAAUGUCAUUUGUUUUCAUUCGUGUUGUACUCCCGUUGCCAAACCAGGCUGGCUUUCAGCACAGAGUGCGCGCAUCCCUAAAAAGGACCCCGGAAAGUGUAGUUUGCGCCGCGCUACAACUCCCAGCGCCCUCGGCGCACUAGAGAUCCCAGGAUUCUUUGAUGCGGGAGGGGACGUGCUUUGAGUGUCCGGGGGUCAAACAGCUUGAACGGGAGUUAGCAAGCGGGGAGCUGCCCGCCCCACUUUACCCCUCCUGUUCCCACCGCAACAGCCACCCCAGCAAGGAACCUGGAGUCGCACCCCGGCCCGUGGGGUGGGGCGUGGCGAGGUUAUUUUCCAGCAGCGGAGGCUCGGCGGGGCUGCCUUCUGCAAGGAAACAAAAGAGGCACGUAUGGCGUAAUGGAAAAAUACAUGGGGGGGUGGAGAGAGGGUUGUACCAUCGCGGCUCGACGGGAGGGAGGGAAGGGAGAGGCUGGCCCAGGGCCUGCCGUCCAAGUUUCGAGGGGGAGGCCCGGCGAGGCGCGAGGAAUGCGCUCCUCUCCUUCCCCUCCUCCCGCAGCUCAGCCCCCUGCAAGCGGCGUUCACAGCUGCGCUGGGAGGCGCGUGCACGAAUAAAUAGGUUCGGGGGCGGAGGUUGCAGCUGCUUGCUGGGAGCGCGCGCGUUGGCUUCGUGGAGGAAUCCACCCGCCGGUUGUGCGGAGGGAAGAUGCGCAGAGGGAGAUAUGGAGCUGGCAAUCCCCACCGCACGUUAGGAUUUACGGGGUGGGGGCAGGCAAGCACCCCAGAAAGUAGGAUCCAGAUUUUCAGCCCCGCAGGCGUCGCUGGGGUGGCCCUGGUGGUUUGGAGCGGCUCCGCUCUCCAAUCCUGCCACCUCGGUUGUCCCAUCUGUAAAAUGGGACCAAAAGAGAAGGCGACUUCAGAGAGCUUUGAUCAGGGAUCUCACCAGAGACCCAACUCUGCAAGCCAACUGAUCCACUUCUUCCACCAAACAGCAAAUCCACCGGGUGCAUUUGCUCAAAUGAAUCUAAGCCAAUUUCACUAUCACAGCUGCCUAUGAAAGCCCUUAAAAUUGGUGCUGUUGGCUGGUUGCCUGGGUCCUCUGUGUGUGUGUGUGUGUGUUUUGGAAAGUGAUCUCUAGAUAUGACCAAUCCUGCCAGGACGCUCAUGACUACUGAUGGACCAAUGCUCUCCGUAUCAGGGACUUCAUGUGUUUGAUGGACAGGAGGCGGAUUUACACCAUAUCUACAAGAUCAAGUGCAGGAUUAAGGGUCCAGAUCAAGGGAAGUCAUAUUCCUGCUCUAUUCUGCCUUGGUCUGACCCCGCUUGGAGUCCUGAGAACAGUUCUGGGCACCCCAGCGGGAGAAGGAGAUGGACAAGGCACAGAUGGACAAGCAGAGGAGGGCAGCCAAGAUGAUGAAGGAAACCAAGCCUGAUGAGGAACAGUUGAAGGAGUUGGGUAUGUUU